ACGAGCGCAACCCCUAUNCUUAGUUACCAGCACGUAAUGGUGGGGACUCUAGGAAAACUGCCUNCGCUAANCGAGAGGAAGGUGGGGAUGACGUCAAAUCAGCACGGCCCUUACGUCCAGGGCUACACACGUGCUACAAUGGCCGGUACAGAGGGCAGCUACCUGGUGACUGGAUGCUAAUCCCUCAAAGCCGGUCUCAGUUCGGAUCGAAUUCUGCAACUCGACUUCGUGAAGCUGGAAUCGCUAGUAAUCCCGCAUCAACAUGGCGGGGUGAAUACGUUCCCGGGCCUUGGA
RNAcentral lists this ribosomal RNA (294 nucleotides) under uncultured bacterium. Its description in RNAcentral is "partial 16S ribosomal RNA". It matches the Rfam family "Bacterial small subunit ribosomal RNA", at positions 1092 to 1385 of the family's 1533-position model. The record is from RNAcentral.